Dermochelys coriacea (leatherback sea turtle) is the source of this 298-nucleotide long non-coding RNA. RefSeq lists it as uncharacterized. The record is from RefSeq and is a predicted model, not a curated record. Lineage: Eukaryota; Metazoa; Chordata; Testudines; Dermochelyidae. The transcript is spliced from 3 exons.
UCACCCUGUUUUGAGGUGGACCUAUUUGUCCUUCCUAUCUACUCCAUUGUCUCAUGAAUAAUUCGAGUGUGCCCUUCUUAUCAGGAACCAGGGAGCAUCACAUUUAUACCAUUCCUCCAAUUGCAAAAUUAUUGUUAGAAUCACCAAUGAUUCAGAUUAUAUCAUUGCCAGUUGUUCUCCCGUUGCUCCGGGUUGUGCUGAAGAGCAGUUAUAUUGGGAACUUUUCAAAUUAUAUUUAAAUGAAGAGGAGUAGGGGCAGCGGGGAAAGUGUCAUUUCAGCCUCUGUGAUACAGAGGGC